This 592-nucleotide ribosomal RNA is filed under the name Pachyphlodes sp. 20 RH-2014. Its description in RNAcentral is "eukaryotic LSU rRNA". It matches the Rfam family "Eukaryotic large subunit ribosomal RNA", at positions 13 to 605 of the family's 3401-position model. Lineage: Eukaryota; Fungi; Ascomycota; Pezizomycetes; Pezizales; Pezizaceae. The record is from RNAcentral.
AGGUAGGGAUACCCGCUGAACUUAAGCAUAUCAAUAAGCGGAGGAAAAGAAACCAACAGGGAUUGCCUCAGUAACGGCGAGUGAAGCGGCAAAAGCUCAGAUUUGAAAUCUGGUGUUAUAUUGACAUCCGAGUUGUAAUCUGUAGAGGAGUUUUCGGAGUAAUGACUUUGGUUAAAGUUCCUUGGAAAAGGGCAUCAUAGAGGGUGAGAAUCCUGUUUAUGACCAUAGUACUUCUCUAUAUGAAUCUCCUUCAAUGAGUCGAGUUGUUUGGGAAUGCAGCUCUAAAUGGGUGGUAAAUUCCAUCUAAAGCUAAAUAUUGGCAAGAGACCGAUAGCGCACAAGUAGAGUGAUCGAAAGAUGAAAAGAACUCUGAACAGAGAGUUAAAGAGUACGUGAAAUUGUUGAAAGGGAAGCACUUGUGACCAGACAAAUUUGCAAUUAAUCAGCCAUCAAUUUUGGUGGUGCACUUGAUUGUAAGUGGGUCAGUAUCAGUUAUAGCAGUGGGACAAAGACCUAAAGAAUGUGGCUCCUCUUUUGAGGAGUGUUAUAGCUUUGAGUUGAAUACUGCUUGCUAUGACUGAGGAUAGCACUC